UACGAAGGGGGCUAGCGUUGCUCGGAAUUAUUGGGCGUAAAGAGCGUGUAGGCGGUCUGGUAGGUCCGUUGUGAAAACUCGAGGCUCAACCUCGAGACGCCGAUGGAAACCAUCAGACUAGAGUCCGGAAGAGGAGAGUGGAAUUCCUGGUGUAGCGGUGAAAUGCGCAGAUAUCAGGAAGAACACCCGUGGCUAAGGCGGCUCUCUAGUACGGUACUGACGCUGAGACGCGAAAGCGUGGGGAGCGAACAGG
Molecule: ribosomal RNA, 253 nt
Filed under: uncultured bacterium
Lineage: Bacteria
Description: partial 16S ribosomal RNA
Rfam family: Bacterial small subunit ribosomal RNA
Source: RNAcentral